RNAcentral lists this ribosomal RNA (463 nucleotides) under uncultured bacterium. Its description in RNAcentral is "partial 16S ribosomal RNA". It matches the Rfam family "Bacterial small subunit ribosomal RNA", at positions 28 to 507 of the family's 1533-position model. The record is from RNAcentral.
GACGAACGCUGGCGGCGUGCUUAACACAUGCAAGUCGAGCGGUAAGGCCCUUCGGGGUACCCGAGCGGCGAACGGGUGAGUAACACGUGAGUAAUCUGCCCAUCACUUCGGGAUAACUCCGGGAAACCGGUGCUAAUACCGAAUAUGACCACUUCAGGCAUCUGAUGGUGGUGGAAAGUUCCGGCGGUGAUGGAUGAGCUCGCGGCCUAUCAGCCUGUUUGUGGGGUAGUGGCCUACCAAGGCUUCGACGGGUAGCCGGCCUGAGAGGGUGACCGGCCACACUGGGACUGAGACACGGCGCAGACUCCUACGGGAGGCAGCAGUGGGGAAUAUUGGACAAUGGGCGAGAGCCUGAUCCAGCAGCGCCGCGUGAGGGAUGACGGCCUUCGGGUUGUAAACCUCUUUCAGCAGGGACGAAGCGCAAGUGACGGUACCUGCAGAAGAAGCACCGGCCAACUACGUG